Non-coding RNA from Phycodurus eques (leafy seadragon), 428 nucleotides. Lineage: Eukaryota; Metazoa; Chordata; Actinopteri; Syngnathiformes; Syngnathidae. The record is from the annotation of a RefSeq genome assembly.
UAUCUGAUGAGUGGCGAGUGCCGAUCAUAACGAGCUCAAGUAACCCGAAAGGCAAAGAUGAUGUUCCUCGUGUUGCUGAGCUUUGCUGCCAGCGUUACUCUGCUGUCAGGACUGAAAGUCACGCAAACGCCCGCCGACAUCAUCGAGGCAGCGGGCCGCCCGGCCACGAUCGCGUGUACUCACAGCAUACCGAACUACGACCAGAUGCUGUGGUACCGGCAGCCCGGCAUGGGCAUGCAGCUCAUCGGGUACAUGUACUACAAAAACCCCACGAUGGAGCCUCACCAGGACGUUAAGUUGGAGGGGACCGCAGAAUCCGGCAAAACGUGCAAGAUGACUUUCCCAAAGCUGCGCCCGAACAGCAGCGCUGUUUAUUAUUGCGCAGCGAGCUACCACGGUGCAGUGUCGUGCUAAAUCCUCAAGUCAUA